This 534-nucleotide ribosomal RNA is filed under the name uncultured Psychrilyobacter sp. RNAcentral's name for it is "bacterial SSU rRNA". It matches the Rfam family "Bacterial small subunit ribosomal RNA", at positions 61 to 609 of the family's 1533-position model. Lineage: Bacteria; Fusobacteriati; Fusobacteriota; Fusobacteriia; Fusobacteriales; Fusobacteriaceae. The record is from RNAcentral.
GUCGACUGGAAUUCUUCUUCGGAAGAUAGUACGGUGGCGGACGGGUGAGUAACGCGUAAAGAAUUUGCCCUUCAGACUGGGACAACUAAUCGAAAGGUUAGCUAAUACCGGAUAUUAUGAGACCUUGGCAUCAAGGACUUAUGAAAGCUAUAUGCGCUGGAGGAGAACUUUGCGUUCCAUUAGCUAGUUGGUAGGGUAAUGGCCUACCAAGGCGACGAUGGAUAGCCGGCCUGAGAGGGUGAACGGCCACAAGGGGACUGAGACACGGCCCUUACUCCUACGGGAGGCAGCAGUGGGGAAUAUUGGACAAUGGACCAAAAGUCUGAUCCAGCAAUUCUGUGUGCACGAUGAAGGUCUUCGGAUUGUAAAGUGCUUCCAGGUGGGAAGAAGAAAGUGACGGUACCACCAGAAGAAGCGACGGCUAAAUACGUGCCAGCAGCCGCGGUAAUACGUAUGUCGCAAGCGUUAUCCGGAAUUAUUGGGCGUAAAGCGAGUCUAGGCGGCUUGUUAAGUCAGAUGUGAAAAUGCGGGGCU